UCAACGGGGGUUUCAAUCCAAGUGACUGACGUCAGCAGCUGCUUCCUGUCCUGUGGAAUCGGCAGACAGCACCGAUGCCAUUCACAGAAGUGGCAAGCGUCUCUGUGCCCACCUGCUGCAUGUCCACGCCAGCACACGGAAAGAACUGGACCAUAAAAACAAAAGUGUUAGCGCAGACCUCCAAGAUGAGUAGAUGAAAUUACAGUGUUAUUUUGAUUUUUUAAUUUGAAUCAAAACCAUAACUUAAAGAAAAGAAGCUUUGAGAAUAAGAGAGAACUUUAGCCUUCCAAACCAUGAAUUACGUUCUUCUUCUAUAACAGACUCCUUGUUUUAAUGAUCCACACACAUCCGUGUGGCUGGUCGCGAGGUAGUGAAGCUUGAUUUAAUUUCCCCAUGAUUCAGACUUGUCCAGACAUGUGUCCUCAAACCGUAUUUGAGGGCAACAAGGGUAAAUAGUCCCCAGACCAGAAGACGUUCCCUCGGUCACCUCCCACUCACCCUGUCUGCUGACCUCCAAGGAAAUUCAGCCCUGCAGUCAACAUCUGUGGUCCAAUCAGCCAGGCUGGAAUAAAAGGAACCUAGUUGUCCAUGCCCUCUACCUCAAAUUGUUCAUAUUCACUGAGGACAGCAAAGCAGAGCAAUUGAAUGCAGUGACACAGGGUCCCAAAAGACCACAGUCUGAAACCAGGCUCUGCCAGGAGCUCGUUAUGUGACCUGCCUCUCAAGUCCUAGUCUCCUCACCUGUAAGAUGGAGAAACUAUGACCAUCAUCACAGUGUGGUUGUGGGAAUUCAAGCAUCUAGUGAACCUGGCACAUGGACCCUUCUGAUUACACUGGACCCACCAGGAUAACCCAGGAUAAUCCCCCUAUCAAGGUCAGCUGUUCAUCAACUUUAACUCCACCUGCAACCUUCAUCCUCCAUCACCAUGUAAGGUAAUAUACUCACAGGUGGGGAUUAGGCUGUGGACAUCUUUGGGGAGACAUUACCUUGCCUGCCACAAUAUGUAAAGUACCUAUUUAGUUCUACAACUUUUCUGUCAUAGAGCUUUUCUUUUUCACUCAAAGCAGUAAGCUCAAUUUUAAAAAGUGAUUUCAAUGCUAAUACAGCAAAUAAGUUUACCUCUUUGUGUUGAAUGCCUUCAUCAGUUCUGGAAUUUGGGAAACUUCUCCAACACCCCCAUUUCACAGAUGAGCAGCUGGGGUCCAGUGGCUCACACGGCAUUUAGUGACAAAUCCAAAACUGGAUUCUGAUGUCCUGCUCCGAGUGAACUGGUGUCUCCUCCACCCCAUCCUACCUUCCUGAAGGCCUUAAGAAUUAUGCUGCAAAAGUGGUGACUCCCCCCUAAUUCCACAGAGUGGGCUGAUCUGCAGCAAGGCCUGGCAUGGCUAAUCAAAACAUGUACAUUUCAGGCAAAAUCAAUAGAAAAGACCAGUACUUAAAAAAAAUUUCCAGGGUAGAAAACGAGUUUGAUCACAAUUCAGAAUAUUUAAUAAAAAUUCUGUCAUGUAUAGAAAAGUGCUUUGGAUUUCUCCCCUGUAUCUUCAAAGGCCUUCAUACAAUGAAACCGUAUCCAUCAAGUUUUUUUUUUUUUAACAUCUUUAUUGGAGUAUAAUUGCUUUACAAUGGUGUGUUAAUUUCUGCUAUAUAACAAAGUGAAUCAGCUAUACAUAUGCAUAUAUCCCCAUAUGUCCUCCCACUUGCAUCUCCCUCCCACCAUCCCUAUCUCACCCUUCUAGGUGGUCACAAAGCACCAAGCUGAUCUCCCUGUGGGUAAGCUGGGAUGAAGUGAGAGAGUGGCAUGGACAUAUAUACACUACCAAAUGUAAAACAGAUAGCUAGUGGGAAGCGGCCGCACCCAUCAAGUUCUGAAGGAAAAAGAUGUUAUCCAAGAUCCUAUGGCCCCAGAAGUUGCCAUUUGUACAUGAGGUACCUGAAUGAUGUUUUCAAAAACCACACAACUAUCCCUGAAUAUAUCUGUUGAGGAUAUACUUCAACUUAAUGAGAGGAAAACAUUGUAACAAUGUAAUAAAACUCAUUAAAAAUAAUAACCAACUCUAAUAUCACAGAUGACACUAAGAAAAACUGGGUAGUGGGUCUGGAUAAAAUGUGGGAACAAAAGACUACUUAUAUCCUCAUUUUAUUGAUACAUAGAAGCUAAUGAGUAAAUAGUGCUUCAUUUUUUAUGUUGAUAGUUUCAGAAAUAUUGAUAUGAGCAUUUAAACAACUUAAGGCAAAUUAUUAGUAGAAUUUAAAACAGAAUCACUAGAGGAAAAAAAGCAAAGAAAACAUACCUAUAUUUAAAAAAAAAAACUUGCUAGGGAAAACACAGGAAGACUUUUUUUUAAAUAAGCAUAAAACAAGAUAAAGACAAUAAAUAAGCACAAUUACGUCAUUAAUAAUAAUAUACGCUCUUCACCUAAACCACCAUAGUAAAAAAUACCUUCCCUCAAAUAGUGAAUGAAUCAAAUUCAACCUAAUGUUAUCUAAAAGCUUUACCACUUUUAAAAAACUGAGAGGUGAGUAUUAUUAAAUGACUCGGCAAAGAUACAGCAGCUAAUGUCAAAAAAAAUUAAAAUGAAUAUAAAGAAAGAAAACAGGGGUUGCCAUAUUCUUUUCAGGCAAUAAAGAAUUAAAAGAAAAAGUUAUUUCUUGGAAUAGUUACAUUAUUUUGGUAAUAAUAAUAAAAUCCAGACAAAAGCAUAAAAGCCAUAUAGUUUUAUGCUCCAAAUAAUAUUCUUUAAAAUACAGCAAUCACACACUGUCAGAGGCACAAAGAGAAGUUAACAGAAACACAGGGUUAGUUAAAGACUUUACUACACUUUCCUCCAUCUCUUACAAAUAUACACAAAUAUAGAUGCCCCAUGGGAAAAAGGGGGGAAGAGAGAAAGAGGUUCAAAUAACAAUAUGAUUGAUUUAUUUGGUUUACAGCAAAAGCUGUGUAUGAAGAAGAACAGGAAAAUAUAUUUCCUAUAAGUUUACAAUGAAUUUUCAAAGUAGUACUUAUACAUUAUGCUAUAUAUGCUCAUAAACUCAAAAACACACAGGUCCAGAUUCUCGCACCAAAAAUGAUUGCAGUGAAAAUCAAACUCAUCAUUAAGGAUUAUUUAGAAAAUAAUGAGAGUGAAAACAGAAUCUGUCAAAAUAUCUGGAAUGCUGGCAAAGUUAUACACUAAAGCAGAUUCAUAACAUGUUAGCCUUUUAUUAGGAAACCAGAAAGAAUGAAAAUUACUUGUUCAGUUAAAAAAUGGAAAUACAAAAAAAAAACUUAAGUAAAACAAAAGGAGCAAAAAAAUAACAGCAGAAAUUAAUGAAUUAGAAAACAUAUAAAUACUAGAAUAAACACUUCUAAGAUCUGGUUCUGUGUAGAAAAAAAAUUACCCAUCAAACGGUUUGCAGGUCUAGUCAAAUAGAAAACAGAAAAUAUAAAUAUAUAAAAUUAGAAAUAAAAAAUGGACAUGACCAAAUAUGUAAGUAAAAUUGUAUAAAAUCUUAUUUUGACAAAUUAGCAAACUGAGUAAGCACGAUGAUUUUUGAAGAAAAUAUAAAGGAUGUAAAAAGCUUAGAGGGGGGAGACAAAGCAUCUUACUAAAAGGCAAUUAAAAUGCGCCAUUCUUUGUUGAAAAAGUGUAUCUCCCUGAGUAAUUAGCAUCUAUUGUGCAUUGAACAAUGGUUUGUUAGCAGAAUUCUAUUACAUCGGUUGUAGGUGGCCAUCCUGUAAAGUGAAUCAACAUAAUGGGGAGCUCCCUGCUUUAAAAAAAAUGUUCACUUUCACAGGUAUCGGUCUAAUUUAAUGCUGUGACAAUAUUAAUGAUUAAAAUUUUAAGCAAUUUUCAAAGUCUUUCCACUGAAUUCAUCACAGACUUGCUGAAGACUAAAGAACGAUCAAGGCAUGGUAAGGGGUUCCUGCAACCAUUUUUACUGUCAGAGGUCAUCCACUUGCCUUGAAACCCAACACUGUGCCUUACUUAGGGUUGGUCCUCCAUAAACAGGAGCUGAGCUGAAGUGUAUGAGUGAGAUGCUGAAUGAGAGGCUCUGACAAUAAAAAGUUGGAUGUCCUUUCAUCCCGAUGAGACUCAGUUUCCUCAUCUGUAAUCUGGAUAACAUGAAACCUGUUUUAAUGUGGAAAAACCUGUAAACUGCAAUGGACCGUGACGAACAUGGAAGGAAUCCUUCUUUAGUGCAUUUAGAACCUUCCUGAGCCAGCUCCUUCUGACAUCUUCAUCACAGAAUAUCUGUGACAUCACCCAAUGUACUUAACAGUUGGUCCCUAAAACUGAACUGAAACUCAUUACUAACAUUCUUAUUUUGUUUUCUCUGCUGAUUGCACUCACCUACUUAGCUACCCCUUGUUCACUAUUCACCAGGGGAUGGGCCAUCUGGAAUGAUUAUUUUAUCUCUUAUAUACCCAACAGGAGGGUAGUUAAAGCUCAAAACUUUAUGUGAUGAUUCUUUCAUCCUUAGUCAUAACCCUCUACAAUUGCUCGGGAGUGAUGGCUAUAGAGCCCAUAAGUGUGAGAUCACUCCAGGCCACUCUUCUAACCUCUAAAUGGAGUCAGUCCUGAGGGAUGGAUAGAAUUUCACUGUUUUCCCAUUUCGUUUGUAUAAUGAAAUCAUUGUUUGGCCUUCGUUCUGUACUUUUGCCCUUUUCGGUCUUAAGGUGGACUCUUCAGUAGCCCCCUCCAAUGUCUGUAGGAAAACUAGGAAUUUUAAAUGUACUCUCAUCAAAUUUCAAGAACUUGAUUUUUUUUCCCUUAAAUAUAGCAUACCAAAUAAAUUCCCUACCUCACAGAUAAUAUAUUAUACAUUUGUUAUUUGUUUACUUGUAUUUAUAUGCACAUAGAAGUGAAUGGAUGUAUAAAUCUGUAAUGUGUGAACUUGACAAAAUUCAAAUCAUCACCUGAAAAUGAAUCACUUAUUGUCACUAAUCAGGUCAUAUUAUCAUAUUAUUGUAUUGUGAUCACAUUUACGCCAACGAGCACCAGAACUUUAGCCUUACCUGGAAUCAGCUGAGGCCCUUGUUAAAAUAGAUAUUAGCAAACCUCACCCCAGAAUUACUGAAUCAGACUCUGGUUAUGAGGCUCAGAAUUGGCGUUCUUAGAAAAUAUUGAGAAAGCAUUGAAGUGGAGAACUUGUUCAGCCUGGUUCCUGAAUGACACCUGUAUUUCCAACUCUUUUAUGGGGAAUCUAAUGUUUAUCCCAGAGUCCCUAAAAGGACAAGCUCCCACCUAGACUUUGUUAACGUAGUUCCAGAUGGCAGCUUCCAGACACAAUCUGGCUUCAUAUCCCACCCUCAGAAGUUGGAACCUAUAGGAUCUCAGGACAGUUGGGAUCUUCUCUGUGAUGGAGCAAAAUGGUGGGGUUUUCCAGUAACUCUAUUUACCAUCAGCUUUGUGCCCUCCUUUUUCCCUAAAAAAAAAAAAAACCUUUAUUUGAUCACCAUUACAUUUUAUUUCCCUGAAACAAGUUUUACUGACGUCAUAUCUCAUGAAAUUUAAGGCGAUUCUCCAGUUUGAGAUAUCAUUGACUAUCCUAGAAAUGGUGGUCUAAAAUCACAAAGAUUGGCUGUGAUAACUAGAAAACUCCCACAUAGAGUCAACAAGUAGUUGCUGGAUCACCACGUCCUCUAUUUCUCUCCUUCAUCUAUCAACCCUUUGGAAGAAGAAUAUAGCAUAUUCACGGGAGUGAAGAAAGCACUGCAUUUUUUCUGAAUUUAGCCAAAAUGUUGAUACUGACCUGAGGCAGAAACAAAAUGGGAGACCUCUAUCUAACCAGUCAUUCAUUAUUCUCUAUUCUCUACUUUUUUAAAAAUUUUAGGAUGAGAAGUAAUUUAAACAGUCAUAUGCAAUCGUACUCUCUGGAGUCCACUGAGUCCAUGCGAUGAUUCAUAACCAUUAUCUCACCAACACAAGAUAUUUCUUUAGAGUGGUGACAUUAUCUUACUGACCCAUCACUUCUUUUCCCCAACAGUGACUUGCCAUACGACCUUGGGUGAGUAACUGACUAUCUGUGGCCAGGAGCUCGUAUCUAUCCCAGUGUAAGAAGACAAAUGACUUACAACCAGUGAGGAUUUGAGGACUCAUAAAUGGAACCCAAAUUUCACUUAAGUAACAAAUAGAGACACUAGUUAAUGCCUGUAGAGGAAGCUUUCCUCUAAGAUAUGUACAGAUAGAGAAGAAGUUGUCAAUCUGUCUGGCUCCAGAUGUAUCCAUCCCUAACCAGUGAAACAAACUUAAGUCCAGGAAAAAGGAAUUUGUUUCUGAGUUGGAACUUCAUUUCAGUGGCUAUGGAAAGGAAUAGCUAAUAACAGUCUUCUCUCUCUUAAUAUAAAUCAAUAGAAUCUCUUGUAUGAUGAAUAAAAAUUAGAACAGCUCUAGGAAGCACAUACAUGUCAGUGUUGUCCUCUAGGUAAUACAACACACACACACAUUCACAUCCCACCUAUUUUUAUACACACCUGCACACUUACAAAUUUGGCACCAUGAUGGCUCAACCAAUGUAUCUGAAUCAUCCGCACAAAAAAUUGAUUUUAGUGCAAGUACAUUCUUAAGAAAAUAAUCAUAUAGCCAGCUACUUUCAACCAGCACUUGGAACUGAGUAUAACAUUUCUCUUUAAGUUUUAGAUGUCCUAAUUCAAAAGAAAAGUGUAAAGAUCCAACAGAUUUUUCUUUUCCAUUUCAUGGCAGAUGCUUGGUUGUUGAAGAAUUUUUUGUCAGCCUUUUCUUACCAACUCACUUAGAGGGCUAACUCUUGUUUAGAUGAGAAAAUGUUCACCUGUGAUGUGGAAGACAGGAUACUGGACUCUUGAAAUGUCCAUCAGCAGGUAUAGUGGCCAGAUAAUGCCAGGUUAAGAGAGUAGCCUUCACAACUGGUUAUUUAUGGAAUAAAUAGAGGUAAAGUUUUGGAAAUCAAUUUGUUGGUUCAUAACAAAACUCCCCCAAUAUUAAAUGUUGGGCAACAAGAAGGAGAGUUGUUGAGUAGAUUACAGGAUGUUCACUUGAUGUAAAUACCACAGUGUUAAGCAAGAAGCCUGAUUAACAAACAGAAAGAUGCUCAUGGCAUCAUGUUAAGUGAAAAAGUCAACAUACAAAUCAAUGGAUCAGAGGAGAAAAGUCCUAAAUAAAUUAACACAUUUAUGGAAAUUUAGUUUGAGGCAAAGAUGACAAUUCAGAUUAAUGGAAAAAUAAGGUAUUAUCUAACCAAUAGUGUUGAGACAACUAAGAAGCUACCUGAAAAAGUGUAAUCCUCCCUCAUACUUAUACCAAUAUAAAGUCCAGAAGAAUGAUAGAAAAUUAUACUGUAAAAGCACUAGGACAAAGCAUAGAUAAAUAUUAUAUUCUCAAAAUGAAAAAUUCUUUCCAACUAUAACAUAAAACCUGGAAGACAAUAAAAAAAUUGAUCAAUCCAACUAUGUAAAAGUAUGCUUUUAUAUGCCCUUCUACCCUGAACAAACAUUAUAAACAAAGUCAGAAGACAGUAUACAGAGAAAAUAUUUACAGCUCUUAAUAUAAAGGGCUAACUGAUAUAUGAGUCCUUUAAAAUCAAUAUUUAAAAAAACUCUGUUGAAAAUGGGCAGACGUUAGCAAAAAAAUUAUAGAAAAUAAAUAUGAUGGCUUUUAGUUGUGCAGAAAGUUUCUCAACUUCACUUAUACUAAGAAACAGACAAGUUCAAACUUUAAGAAGAUACAGUACUGUGUUUUACCUAUCAGGUUAACAAAGACCAAGAACGACAUGUUAUGGGAUAGUGACAUAUUCAUCGCUGGUUGGAGUAUAAGUUGGGAAAUCUCUUGGAAGUCGAUCAAAAUACACUAUGCAAGUACUGUUUGACCCAGCAAUUCCAUUCCCAUGAAUUUCUCAUGAAGGUGGCAAUUUAAAGUUUCUAUACUCUAAAUUCAAGAAAGGAAAAAGAUGACUGUUCUUUGGCCAUAGUCCUAAGACAUAAACAAGUCACCACUACAACUUUUUUCAAAGCCAUUUCAAUCAGCGAAAAUUCAGUUUAGUAACUGCACUUCUUAAAGGCACAUGCAAAAUGCCAAGGUUCCGCAGCUGAAGGUCAACCAAUCCUUAAGCACUCUUGCUUCUGGAAGUCUGUCAAUCCCUGGACUCAGUGCUUCCCAAACCCUAUGUAAGAUCAGCUUUUGCUUUGUUCUGAUAGAACUGUAUCCCAUAAGCACUCUUUUCCCUUGUUUAACAAGAAAUAAACUGUUUAUU
Long non-coding RNA from Orcinus orca (killer whale), 8209 nucleotides. RefSeq lists it as uncharacterized. The transcript is spliced from 3 exons. The record is from RefSeq and is a predicted model, not a curated record. NCBI's taxonomy places the organism in Eukaryota, Metazoa, Chordata, Mammalia, Artiodactyla, Delphinidae.